Molecule: ribosomal RNA, 253 nt
Filed under: uncultured bacterium
Lineage: Bacteria
Description: partial 16S ribosomal RNA
Rfam family: Bacterial small subunit ribosomal RNA
Source: RNAcentral
GACGAACCGAGCGAACGUUGUUCGGAAUCACUGGGCUUAAAGGGCGCGUAGGCGGGCUCUCAAGUCCGGGGUGAAAUCCCACAGCUCAACUGUGGAACUGCCUCGGAUACUGGGGGUCUCGAGGGUGGUAGGGGUAUGCGGAACUAUCGGUGGAGCGGUGAAAUGCGUUGAUAUCGAUAGGAACUCCGGUGGCGAAGGCGGCAUACUGGACCACAUCUGACGCUGAGGCGCGAAAGCCAGGGGAGCAAACGGG